This 286-nucleotide ribosomal RNA is filed under the name uncultured bacterium. Its description in RNAcentral is "partial 16S ribosomal RNA". It matches the Rfam family "Bacterial small subunit ribosomal RNA", at positions 30 to 314 of the family's 1533-position model. The record is from RNAcentral.
AUUGAACGCUGGCGGCAUGCCUUACACAUGCAAGUCGAACGGCAGCACGGGAGCAAUCCUGGUGGCGAGUGGCGAACGGGUGAGUAAUAUAUCGGAACGUGCCCAGUCGUGGGGGAUAACGUAGCGAAAGCUACGCUAAUACCGCAUACGAUCUAUGGAUGAAAGCGGGGGAUCGCAAGACCUCGCGCGAUUGGAGCGGCCGAUAUCAGAUUAGGUAGUUGGUGAGGUAAAGGGCUCACCAAGCCGACGGAUCUGUAGCUGGUCUGAGAGGACGACCAGCCACACU